Molecule: ribosomal RNA, 468 nt
Filed under: uncultured bacterium
Lineage: Bacteria
Description: partial 16S ribosomal RNA
Rfam family: Bacterial small subunit ribosomal RNA
Source: RNAcentral
GACGAACGCUGGCGGCGUGCUUAACACAUGCAAGUCGAACGGAAAGGCCCUGCUUUUGUGGGGUGCUCGAGUGGCGAACGGGUGAGUAACACGUGAGUAACCUGCCCUUGACUUUGGGAUAACUUCAGGAAACUGGGGCUAAUACCGGAUAGGAGCUCCUGCUGCAUGGUGGGGGUUGGAAAGUUUCGGCGGUUUGGGAUGGACUCGCGGCUUAUCAGCUUGUUGGUGGGGUAGUGGCUUACCAAGGCUUUGACGGGUAGCCGGCCUGAGAGGGUGACCGGCCACAUUGGGACUGAGAUACGGCGCAGACUCCUACGGGAGGCAGCAGGGGGGAAUCUUGCACAAUGGGCGGACGCCUGAUGCAGCAACGCCGCGUGCGGGAUGACGGCCUUCGGGGUGUAAACCGCUUUCGCCUGUGACGAAGCGUGAGUGACGGUAAUGGGUAAAGAAGCACCGGCUAACUACGUG